GAUGAACGCUGGCGGCGUGCCUAAUACAUGCAAGUCGAGCGAACGGACGAGAAGCUUGCUUCUCUGAUGUUAGCGGCGGACGGGUGAGUAACACGUGGAUAACCUACCUAUAAGACUGGGAUAACUUCGGGAAACCGGAGCUAAUACCGGAUAAUAUUUUGAACCGCAUGAUUCAAAAGUGAAAGACGGUCUUGCUGUCACUUAUAGAUGGAUCCGCGCUGCAUUAGCUAGUUGGUAAGGUAACGGCUUACCAAGGCAACGAUGCAUAGCCGACCUGAGAGGGUGAUCGGCCACACUGGAACUGAGACACGGUCCAGACUCCUACGGGAGGCAGCAGUAGGGAAUCUUCCGCAAUGGGCGAAAGCCUGACGGAGCCACGCCGCGUGAGUGAUGAAGGUCUUCGGAUCGUAAAACUCUGUUAUUAGGGAAGAACAUAUGUGUAAGUAACUGUGCACAUCUUGACGGUACCUAAUCAGAAAGCCCCGGCUAACUACGUG
RNAcentral lists this ribosomal RNA (497 nucleotides) under uncultured bacterium. RNAcentral describes it as "partial 16S ribosomal RNA". It matches the Rfam family "Bacterial small subunit ribosomal RNA", at positions 28 to 507 of the family's 1533-position model. The record is from RNAcentral.